GGCACAGUACCCAUCAUCAAGAAGAUUCAGAUCUGAUGAAGAGAAAAUGAUACGUAUGCUGAUAAAUAAUAACAGUAUCUUUAUAGUAUUUUAAGAUUUAUAAAACAUUUUACAAGUAUUAGCACAUCCUCACAACCACUCUGGGAGGGAAAUGCUACUCUGAUCUCCAUUCUACAGAUAAGAAACUGAGGCAGAAGUGAAGACACUUGCCCAGGAUCACACAGUUAGUAUCUUGAGGUUAGAUUCUGACUCCCAAUCCAGCACUCUACCCACCAAUCAAGUAACAUGAAAGAAAGUUCAUUUUCACUUUGAAAUCAAGGAAGAAAGGCGAUUUCAUAGGGAAGGUAGCAUUCAAGCUAGGCCAUUGGGGAUGGACAGUAUCAAAAGGCAUAGUGAUGGACAAGGGAUAAUAUCAGGCACGGGAAACAAUAUUAGCAAAGGUGUCAAGAGGUCAGGAAACAGGGUGACACUGAGCUGGAAUACAGAUUACGACAGAUUAUGUCAGUGGGAAGAUAAAGCUGGAAACGGAGAAGCGCCUGGUUGGGUAGAACCUUGAAUACCAGUCCCAAGAUGUUUCAUCUUUUUAGGGGGGCAAUGGGAAAGCCCAUUCUCUCUCAACAGUCCUGGUUGCUGCCAUACCAGAAUCAGAUAUCUGAUUACAUCAGAAAAGUAGAAAAUUGGUGUUCAGUUCAUUUGAUUAAUGGUCUAAUGCUCUCAGGUAGCUUGCUGGGCUUCAGUGAUAUUGUGUGUGUAAGAAAGGAGGGCUCUCUGACAUGACAAAGAGCUGGUCUUUUAUGGUCCCAGGCAGGAAGGAGAGGUCUGAGUUGGUUCUUUACCCACUUUUCAGAGAGCAGCUGAAGCUUAUGUGCAGAGGUAAGGUUUCAUUAUAACAAUUUAUAUAGCACAUUAUAUUUAUUGAGAAUUCCAAAGUACUGAUUAUAUUUGAAUUUGUAUUGUAUUUUUUUGGUGAGGCUCUUAGUGUAGUGACAAGAAAGCCAGCCUUAAAGCCAACAAAAGCUAGGGUCAAUCUUGCCUCUGACAUAUGGUGGCUAUGUGACUCGGGGCAAGUCCCUUAACCUCUGGUGUUUUGGGGUAGAGAAGGGGCCAGUCUGUCCUGGCAGCUGUCUCAUCCAGGACUUCUCUAGACCCAUGAGCUAUUAGGUCCAAUUCCCGUUAUCCGUGUACAUCUCAG
This 1192-nucleotide long non-coding RNA is filed under the name Sarcophilus harrisii (Tasmanian devil). RNAcentral's name for it is "lncRNA (ENSSHAG00000032060.1)". The record is from RNAcentral. Lineage: Eukaryota; Metazoa; Chordata; Mammalia; Dasyuromorphia; Dasyuridae.